RNAcentral lists this ribosomal RNA (471 nucleotides) under uncultured bacterium. Its description in RNAcentral is "partial 16S ribosomal RNA". It matches the Rfam family "Bacterial small subunit ribosomal RNA", at positions 28 to 507 of the family's 1533-position model. The record is from RNAcentral.
GACGAACGCUGGCGGCGUGCUUAACACAUGCAAGUCGAACGAUGAAGCCUAGCUUGCUAGGUGGAUUAGUGGCGAACGGGUGAGUAAUACGUGAGUAACCUACGUUUAACUCUGGGAUAAGCCUGGGAAACUGGGUCUAAUACCGGAUACGACCAAUCUCCGCAUGGGGUGUUGGUGGAAAGCGUUAUGUAGUGGUUAUAGAUGGGCUCACGGCCUAUCAGCUUGUUGGUGAGGUAACGGCUCACCAAGGCGACGACGGGUAGCCGGCCUGAGAGGGUGACCGGCCACACUGGGACUGAGACACGGCCCAGACUCCUACGGGAGGCAGCAGUGGGGAAUAUUGCACAAUGGGCGCAAGCCUGAUGCAGCGACGCCGCGUGAGGGAUGACGGCCUUCGGGUUGUAAACCUCUGUUAGCAGGGAAGAAGAGAAAUUGACGGUACCUGCAGAGAAAGCGCCGGCUAACUACGUG